UCUGUGGGGCAGCCUAUGGGUCCCUGGGUCCCGGUAGCGGCUCUAUGGGGCAGGCUAUGGGGUCUAUGGGUCCCAGUCCGGGUUCUAUGGGGCAGGCUGUGGGUCCGUAGGUCCCAGUAUCAGAUCUAUGGGUCCCAGUCCGGGCUCUAUGGGGCAGGCUGUGGGUCUCCGGGCCCCGGUAGAGGCUCCAUUGGGCAGGCUGUGGGGUCUGUGGGUCCCGGUCCGGGCUCUAUGGGGCAGGCUGUGGGUCCGUGGGUCCCGGUAUCAGAUCUAUGGGUCCCAGUAGCGGCUCUAUGGGGCAGGCUGUGGGUCUAUGGGGCAGGCUGUGGGUCUGUGGGUCCCGGUAGCAGCUCUAUGGGGCAGGCUGUGGGUCUAUGGGGC
This 381-nucleotide long non-coding RNA is filed under the name Anser cygnoides (Swan goose). RNAcentral describes it as "lncRNA (ENSACDG00005008203.1)". The record is from RNAcentral. Lineage: Eukaryota; Metazoa; Chordata; Aves; Anseriformes; Anatidae.